Molecule: ribosomal RNA, 1481 nt
Filed under: Corn-reddening phytoplasma 2005/2
Lineage: Bacteria; Bacillati; Mycoplasmatota; Mollicutes; Acholeplasmatales; Acholeplasmataceae
Description: 16S ribosomal RNA
Rfam family: Bacterial small subunit ribosomal RNA
Source: RNAcentral
ACAUGCAAGUCGAACGGAAGUUUAAGCAAUUAAACUUUAGUGGCGAACGGGUGAGUAACGCGUAAGCAAUCUGCCCCUAAGACGAGGAUAACAGUUGGAAACGACUGCUAAGACUGGAUAGGAGAUAAGAAGGCAUCUUUUUAUUUUUAAAAGACCUAGCAAUAGGUAUGCUUAGGGAAGAGCUUGCGUCACAUUAGUUAGUUGGUGGGGUAAUGGCCUACCAAGACGAUGAUGUGUAGCCGGGCUGAGAGGUCGAACGGCCACAUUGGGACUGAGACACGGCCCAAACUCCUACGGGAGGCAGCAGUAAGGAAUUUUCGGCAAUGGAGGAAACUCUGACCGAGCAAUGCCGCGUGAACGAUGAAGUAUUUCGGUACGUAAAGUUCUUUUAUUAGGGAAGAAAAGAUGGUGGAAAAACCAUUAUGACGGUACCUAAUGAAUAAGCCCCGGCUAACUAUGUGCCAGCAGCCGCGGUAAUACAUAGGGGGCAAGCGUUAUCCGGAAUUAUUGGGCGUAAAGGGUGCGUAGGCGGUUAAAUAAGUUUAUGGUCUAAGUGCAACGCUCAACGUUGUGAUGCUAUAAAAACUGUUUAGCUAGAGUUGGAUAGAGGCAAGUGGAAUUCCGUGUGUAGUGGUAAAAUGCGUAAAUAUACGGAGGAACACCAGAAGCGAAGGCGGCUUGCUGGGUCUUAACUGACGCUGAGGCACGAAAGCGUGGGGAGCAAACAGGAUUAGAUACCCUGGUAGUCCACGCCCUAAACGAUGAGUACUAAACGUUGGAUAAAACCAGUGUUGAAGUUAACACAUUAAGUACUCCGCCUGAGUAGUACGUACGCAAGUAUGAAACUUAAAGGAAUUGACGGGACUCCGCACAAGCGGUGCAUCAUGUUGUUUAAUUCGAAGGUACCCGAAAACCUCACCAGUCUGACAUGCUUUUGCAAAGCUGUAGAAAAUACAGUGGAGGUUAUCAGAAGCACAGGUGGUGCAUGGUUGUCGUCAGCUCGUGUCGUGAGAUGUUGGGUUAAGUCCCGCAACGAGCGCAACCCUUGUUGUUAAUUGCCAUCAUUAAGUUGGGGACUUUAGCAAGACUGCCAAUGAUAAAUUGGAGGAAGGUGGGGACGACGUCAAAUCAUCAUGCCCCUUAUGACCUGGGCUACAAACGUGAUACAAUGGCUGUUACAAAGGGUAGCUAAAGCGUAAGCUUCUGGCGAAUCUCAAAAAAGCAGUCUCAGUUCGGAUUGAAGUCUGCAACUCGACUUCAUGAAGUUGGAAUCGCUAGUAAUCGCGAAUCAGCAUGUCGCGGUGAAUACGUUCUCGGGGUUUGUACACACCGCCCGUCAAACCACGAAAGUUGGCAAUACCCAAAGCCGGUGGCCUAACUUGAGCAAUCAAGAAGGAGCCGUCUAAGGUAGGGUUGAUGAUUGGGGUUAAGUCGUAACAAGGUAUCCCUACCGGAAGGUGGGGAUGGAUCACCUCCUUUCU